UGGGGAAUAUUGGACAAUGGGCGCAAGCCUGAUCCAGCCAUGCCGCGUGAGUGAUGAAGGCCUUAGGGUUGUAAAGCUCUUUCGCCGGUGAAGAUAAUGACGGUAACCGGAGAAGAAGCCCCGGCUAACUUCGUGCCAGCAGCCGCGGUAAUACGAAGGGGGCUAGCGUUGCUCGGAAUCACUGGGCGUAAAGCGCACGUAGGCGGAUCGUUAAGUCAGGGGUGAAAAUCCUGGAGCUCAACUCCAGAACUGCCCUUGAUACUGGCGAUCUCGAGUUCGAGAGAGGUUGGUGGAACUCCGAGUGUAGAGGUGAAAUUCGUAGAUAUUCGGAAAGAACACCAGUGGCGAAGGCGGCCAACUGGCUCGAUACUGACGCUGAGGUGCGAAAGCGUGGGGAGCAAAACAGGAUUAGAUACCCUGGUAGUCCACGCCGUAAAACGAUGGAUGCUAGCCGUUGGGGGGUUUACCUCUCAGUGGCGCAGCUAACGCCUUAAGCAUCCCGCCUGGGGAGUACGGUCGCAAGAUUAAAAACUCAAAAUGAAUUGACGGGGUCAUAGCUGUUUCCU
This 566-nucleotide ribosomal RNA is filed under the name uncultured bacterium. RNAcentral describes it as "partial 16S ribosomal RNA". It matches the Rfam family "Bacterial small subunit ribosomal RNA", at positions 355 to 1375 of the family's 1533-position model. The record is from RNAcentral.